Molecule: non-coding RNA, 29 nt
Filed under: Mus musculus (house mouse)
Lineage: Eukaryota; Metazoa; Chordata; Mammalia; Rodentia; Muridae
Source: RNAcentral
UGAGCGAGCGCCAUGGAUGCAGGUCAUUG